GAAAGAGGCCAGCUGACAUAGCCAGGGAGAGUGGGAUGGUAGUGCUAGCGACCAUCAUGCAAGGUCAGAGGUCGACACCAUGUGUGGUGGAGGGCACUGAGUGCCAGACUGAGGGAGGGUCGGGCGUGGCACCCUUGCGUCUCCUUACAUGCAGCAACACCACCUGGAGAACACCGGCACCAGUGCCACCUACCUCAACAACACUUGACUGUCGAGUGUUUGGGCAGGUGUUCCGGCAUGGAUCAAGAUGGCACGACGGGUGUAGGGAAAAAAGGUGUGUCAGAGGAAAGGUGUGGAAGGACCAUCAGCUGGCUCAUACGUGU
This is a non-coding RNA of Cherax quadricarinatus, 323 nucleotides long. The record is from RefSeq and is a predicted model, not a curated record. NCBI's taxonomy places the organism in Eukaryota, Metazoa, Arthropoda, Malacostraca, Decapoda, Parastacidae.